Molecule: long non-coding RNA, 241 nt
Organism: Triplophysa rosa
Lineage: Eukaryota; Metazoa; Chordata; Actinopteri; Cypriniformes; Nemacheilidae
Exons: 3
Source: RefSeq, a predicted model, not a curated record
GCACCUGCAGACUCGCAAGGGUAUUCACACAGGAAGCGUUUGUACAGCAGCUGCAUCAAAUGUGCAAGUCAUACUUCAAUAUAGGACGGACCUAGACUACCUGAAGACAGACUACAGAAACAUUUAAAAACAACAAUGCGUGUUGUACAAAGAAGAGUCAUCGCACUGUACCUUUUGCUAAGAAAUGUGCGUCGAAGGAUGCGACGAAGAAUAUGGGUUCAUCCGAUCAAUUUGCGCAGGA